This 4296-nucleotide ribosomal RNA is filed under the name Triticum aestivum (bread wheat). RNAcentral's name for it is "partial small subunit ribosomal RNA". The record is from RNAcentral. Lineage: Eukaryota; Viridiplantae; Streptophyta; Magnoliopsida; Poales; Poaceae.
GUGUAAGAAGAGACCUAUUAAGGGGUGGUGACGGAGUGUUAGAGGAGGCAAGGGGUAAGAGAGGUGGUGUUGGUCGCGAGGGACCAGUCCAGCGGGGGAGGGGAAGCAGUGGUGGCGGCCGCGAGGGACCAGUCCGAUGGGAGGGGAAGCAGUGGUCGCAGCGGCGAGGGAUCGUCCGGCGGGGAGGGGAAGCUUAGUCUAGUGUCUUCACCGGCUCCUCCAGGAGCUCGAGCCGUACGAGCGCGGUCACGAUCCGCGGUAACCUACGCCUGCGUCUCCGAGCCCUGAACGUGCGGGAUGAGAUGGGACAAGGAAGGUUAGGCCGGGGCUUCACGAGCUCCUCCGCGAGCUCCAGCCGUACGAGUGGCCGCUGCGACCCAGGGAGGUAGGAGGACCAAGGGAGCGGUAGCGGUUCUACUCGGAGAGGUGGGAGAGGGCGCGCUAGCAGGUCCAGGUCCAUUAGAGAGAGAGGGACUGGGACGGCAUACGAGGAGGGGCAGUUAAGCCAAUCAGCGGUCCACGUAGCGGAGUGACUCUAUAGUGGUACUUAUAAGGAAAAGUUCUGACAGGUAUAAAACAAGACAAUUUCCCGAAACAAUCUUUUAGACUAAAUUGACUCAUAAUAAGACGAGAUUUAACGCCGGGGAAGACCAACACUCACCUAGGUUCUCAAGUGUACUACGUCAUAGAAAAACUUUCUACUAUGUAAUAGAAGUAUUUUCUUUCCUUCAACCUCCUCAAUAAUAACUUCUCCCUAAGUCACCAUACACGAAGAGUUCUCGAUUUGACCUUGUUCUUCACGUACUGAGAGUACGGAUGUGAUUGAUUAGUCUGAAGGGCUUCCUCUUCUUCCUCCACGCCUUUCUCCUACCCUCGUUGUUUAGACUUAGUUUCUCACCUAUAAAAUCGUCAAGUCGACAGGUUUUCUCUUUUACUCAACGAAGUCGUCUUUUGGCUCCAGUGCUCUUAUCGCUGAAGUGACUUUGACCGAAGACUUCUACGAUCCUCUUAACAACUGCUUCUUGCUUGAUUACGUGCGUACCUCUAACUUUUACGAUCUCGACGACAUGUUUCUCAAGUUUUUCAUGAAGUUCUCUUUCUCUUGUCAAGUGUUUCUUAACCUUUCGUCUUCUCCUUCUAGAUCUUUAAACGUAUGGAUCUCCUUGAGCGGAAGAACUACGGGGAACGAAUGUCUUCCAGCUGUAGCUGACUCAUGCUCGCCGGGAUACAGUGUUCCCCCGCACCUUGACGACGUCGGGUAGAUACUGUCUCGUCUGAGGACGCUUAAACGGGUCGAUCCUCGGCACUGGGCCGGAGUGUCCUUCCCGGUCCCGCUUCUGCAUAGGGGCUACCGGUUCUGUGCCGGUGCCACCACUAAAAACUACCACUCUGUCUCGUCUGAGCUCGCUGAAACGGGUCGGUCCUCGUGUAUUUUCUAUUAGUCGCAAAUAAGCGAUCGACCUUAAUUUCCGUUGUCGCUCUCUCGUUCUAGUUCCUGUUGAAGUUUUAAAUUCUUAUAUACGUUCUUUACCUGCACUUCGUUGUAAAUAUUGGUUAGAGGCCUGUCAUAAUAUGGACUAAGGCAGCUCAUCUGCAAUAGUUGUUAAAGUCGAUGCCCAUACUACGAGCGUAACACAAGACGUAGUGAAGAGGGCGAACAUUCUGGACCUUCUGUAAUACGUAGGACAGUAUAUAAGUCCAGAGCGUUGAUUUGCUUUUGUACCAUCCAACGUAGUAUGGACAUCAAUGCAGUAGAAGUCCAACUACAAGCGGUUGGCACGAAAAACUUAAGGGGUAUACGUUGAUAACUUACCGUUUUUAGUACUUCUGUCUUUACCAUCAAUAAACUACUGUAAGACCUUCCCAAUAACAAGUUGUAUAAUAUAUGACGUUGGACAACGAUCGUAUAUGACGUUAACAUAAAAUAAGAUGUAUUUAUGACGUUACCGUGAAAGUAGAUGUAGAAGAUGUAGAGACAUGAAAGAAUCUUACGUUCACAAAAACAAGAUAGAAGUCAAGUCGUGUUCACCUUUGUAUGAGAUCCCAGGACAUACCAAACACAAAAGAAAAAACGGUAUAAAUAUGUUCACGUCCUACGUCCUAUGGGGAACCAUAAAAAAAACGGUUAACGGUAGACAUUUGUACACAUGAACUCAGAUUUGACACAUCUUGUCUUUAGUUAGAGCGUCCGCCUAGGUAGGGACACUUUCGUGAACGGUACCGACAUACUGUACGCUACCUACAUACCCGACACUCUACAUACUCUACGCUAACAUACCGUAAACUCUACAUACUCUACGCUAACUGCAUACUCUACCAAACAUAUGGAUAAAAAGCCUAGGUCCUGCACAAGACCGGCCUAGGACCUGCACACGCGAAUAGGAGCAGGUCCUAGCCGCGACCUAGGACCUAGUUCCCGCUCCUCAAGUCGCGCCGCCGCUUCACUACCUCCCGCCGCCGCUGGACUAGGUCCUGGGCGCGGCCUAGCAGCUCCACAAGUCGCGCCGCCGCUUCACUACCUCCCGGCGCUGGAACAGGUCCUAGCUGCGCCUACCUCCUGCCGCUCACUUCGCCCCGCCGCUGGAGCUGGUCCUACCUCCCGCCGCUCCUACCUCCCGUCGCUGACUUCGCGCCGCCGCGUCCCUACAUCCCGCCGGUGCUUCCCUCCGGAGCGAGCUCUUGUCCUGAGCAGCGACCAAUUGGCAGCAUCCAAAAAAAAACAGCGUCCAAUUGGAAGCAUGCAGAAAACUCCCAGCGUACACCUAUCCACGCCCAAGCCCGGAGUCCUCCUCCAAAAAAGCCAAACACUACAGAAUCAGUCUCCACCCUCCUCCAUGGUUUUAUUUGGCACCCUCCACCCUGAUUUUUUUUGGACCUUCGCUCUGAUGGUUGACGAGGGAAUCCUCAUCUCUAUGUAGGCAUAUAUCAAACGUCACCUUUAGAUUUUUUCGAAUAUAAAUCCUUGCCUCCCUCAGUCCAGGCCGUGCAUGCUGUGAUCAAUCCAGAAUCACCCGCAGCUCGUACGUACGUACGGAUCGCUCCUACAAAACCAUCAGAAUAAUUUUUUGCAAAAUAUAAUUUGUCUCUAUCCUGAAAUGAUCCAAGUAACGAACUGACGACCUACUUUCCUCGACUCGCUGGUGUCUAGGUGGGUGGUCGGAGCAGCAGCAAAGGGAGAGACGAGGGUCGCUCCCUGGUGCCAUUAUCAGCUAGAACUUAGGGUAUAGACAAACACAUCUAACACGACACGGAAUUGAAAAACUAACUCCUCAGGUGUCCCUGCCCGAGCCCGGCAUGCACCGUCGCUACGGGGCCGCCGUCUGCCGCGGCAAAAGAAGCGAAGGACGACAGGGUAGAUCCACGCGAGGUUAGAGCGGCCUGCGGUACGACAGAUCGAUCGGCCAGUGGCGAAACACCCACCUCGCCCUCAACCCCUAGAUCUAGUCCUAUUAAGACACCAGCCAAGGUCGGCCGGUAGUGCUGCUGCUGCGAGCGUCCACGGCUAUAAGAAGAACCUAUGUAGCAAGACCAGGCAGGAUGGAAAAGGCUGAAGUGACGAAGAGCCCACUUUUGGAAUUGACGCCACCCGCCGCUGUUGAGAGUUCGCGGCACAGAAAGCACUUCCAGAGCGGCACUCUCGAAACACUACCACCUGUGACAAAUCCAAGCAACCAUCCACAUCUACCGCACGGGAAGAAGGAGAUACCCCGUAGUCAGGGCCCCCUUUGGGAUCUAGACCCAGAGGGUCUAGCCUACUAUUGCCUCUGAUGCCACAGCAAAAGGGAGGACUCCCGUAACAAAACUUCGUCUCCAAGUGACCUCCCCGGUUGUCCACCUCGCCAAGGUAGAUGGCGCAACUUCUACCGCCCAGAGCCGCCGAACCUCGUGACCUCAGAGCCGCAACCUGCACCAAACUACCUGCGCGCGUCCGACCACCACAACGGACCGCAACACCACUGCAGUUAUCGUCUACCCAGACCGUUCCAGAUACGUUACUAGGGAGGACUUCCACCCUGCCGCCUUCUACCGCCGCCGCCUAGGAUCUCGCACGCGUACGCCACGUACAACACCUUGCGGAUCUAGCCAACCACGAUAAUUGAACGGUCAGUCCGCUGAAGAACUCCAGUAACCUAUUCUACCACAGGCAACUACGCCAGCCCCGUGUAGAAAUAUAAACAUACACAUCGCUCAAACAAGCAGAGCUUCCAUUGAAAUCAAACUAGAAACAUAAGUAAAACAAUCUGAGCCAACUUAUUGAAUUAUUUCUACUAACGUACGUAACUACGUUUCCGACCC